AACGUAGGAGGCGAGCGUUAUCCGGAUUUACUGGGCGUAAAGCGCACGCAGGUGGCUGUGCAAGUCGGACAUGAAAGCUCCUGGCUUAACUGGGAGAGGUGGUUCGAAACUGCAUGGCUUGAGGUUGGGAGAGGGACGUGGAAUUCCCGGUGUAGUGGUGGAAUGCGUAGAUAUCGGGAGGAACACCAGUGGCGCAAGCGGCGUCCUGGCCCACACCUGACGCUGAGGUGCGAAAGCGUGGGGAGCAAAC
RNAcentral lists this ribosomal RNA (250 nucleotides) under uncultured bacterium. RNAcentral's name for it is "partial 16S ribosomal RNA". It matches the Rfam family "Bacterial small subunit ribosomal RNA", at positions 524 to 773 of the family's 1533-position model. The record is from RNAcentral.